UGUAACCCUAGAAUAAUUAUUCGACCUCUCAAAACCGAGACUCAGAGAAGUUGGGUAUUCUAGGGUCACACA
RNAcentral lists this microRNA precursor (72 nucleotides) under Chlorocebus sabaeus (green monkey). RNAcentral describes it as "miRNA (ENSCSAG00000020665.1)". Lineage: Eukaryota; Metazoa; Chordata; Mammalia; Primates; Cercopithecidae. The record is from RNAcentral.